CCUACGGGUGACAGCAGUGGGGAAUAUUGGGCAAUGGGCGCAAGCCUGAACCAGCCAAGUCGCGUGAGGGAGGACGGCCCUACGGGUUGUAAACCUCUUUUGCCGGGGAGCAACGGGCGUCACGUGUGGCGCCACUGAGAGUACCCGGAGAAAAAGCAUCGGCUAACUCCGUGCCAGCAGCCGCGGUAAUACGGAGGAUGCGAGCGUUAUCCGGAUUUAUUGGGUUUAAAGGGUGCGUAGGCGGAUCGUUAAGUCAGUGGUCAAAUUGAGGGGCUCAACCCCUUCCCGCCAUUGAAACUGGCGUUCUUGAGUGGAAGAGAAGUAUGCGGAAUGCGUGGUGUAGCGGUGAAAUGCAUAGAUAUCACGCAGAACCCCGAUUGCGAAGGCAGCAUGCCGGCUUCCGACUGACGCUGAAGCACGAAAGCGUGGGGAUCGAACAGGAUUAGAUACCCCAGUAGUC
This 460-nucleotide ribosomal RNA is filed under the name uncultured bacterium. Its description in RNAcentral is "partial 16S ribosomal RNA". It matches the Rfam family "Bacterial small subunit ribosomal RNA", at positions 338 to 795 of the family's 1533-position model. The record is from RNAcentral.